Meriones unguiculatus (Mongolian gerbil) is the source of this 406-nucleotide long non-coding RNA. RefSeq lists it as uncharacterized. The record is from RefSeq and is a predicted model, not a curated record. The transcript is spliced from 2 exons. Lineage: Eukaryota; Metazoa; Chordata; Mammalia; Rodentia; Muridae.
GCGCUAGAACGCGCGGGAACUCUAGAGCGCAAAUACUGUAGUUGAGAGUGCGUGCACGUUCUUGGAGGUAGCUUUUGCGUUCCAGUCAGACUAUUAAUUGUACAGAUGUUUACCGAAUACGCACUUUGGUCAGACGCUGCUGUUUGAUGUGGCAGUGGUGUCAAAACAAAACCCUGUCCUUACAGAGCUUUUCUGGGUGGGGAGAAGUCCAGUAAACGGAAACAUUCAGAGAAAAUUACAUUUCUUUGGGGAUCAUCAGAAUUGCAAUUUGGGAAAACACAGCUUCAAGCCAUCUUACAAAUGGAAUCAUCUUACAACAGGAAUCAUCCUGUUGUCAUUUUGAAACUCUUGUGGUCACUAAUUUAAACCCACAGGCACGGUGGAAUUACAGGAAAUGAGAAAAGCG